Paramuricea clavata is the source of this 2051-nucleotide non-coding RNA. Lineage: Eukaryota; Metazoa; Cnidaria; Anthozoa; Malacalcyonacea; Plexauridae. The record is from the annotation of a GenBank genome assembly.
GAGCAAUUUCGCAAACAAUGGCGCAUCGAAGCCAAAAUGUUAAAAUUGAUGAAUUUCGGCUUCGAAUAACUUUUGUUUUUAAGGCCAUCCUUUUAUAAUAUUUGGUAGGACUAAAUUUAUAGCCUUUAUCUAAAUUCCUACCGAAGCACUUUAUUCGAUUUCGUCUUUGAUCGGAGUAAAAAUGCAUUUGAAUAAGGCCACCAAAUACAGCUUUUCGAUGUCAACGCUAAUAAUAUAACGUUUAGCGUCUGAGGUUGCGGUCAAAAGAAAGAUGGAAUUAUCGACCAAGAAACAGAAAUUGAGGAGAUUAGACGAAAAGGUAUGUUUGGCAUUUGUUUAUUGUAUUAUUUGUACAAAACAAGGGAUAAUAUAUUGAUAUGUUUUGAAAGGCAGGCGUGUGUACUUGUUGACUUGUAUAUUAUAUACAUUCUUGAGCGCGCAAGAACUAUAAUACCUAUAGCGGCCUAUAGCUACAAACCCUUUAAUUAACCCUAUAUUUUCGAGUUUGGAGGGUUUAAAACAAGGGAAAUAUGUUUAAAAUUACGAACAAUGUGUUGUAUAUUAUAUUUCCACAUUGACAGUUGUCACACAGAUUUAUUAUAAGUAGAUUGACUAGACAAUAUGCCAUGUUCCAUAGGUAAAUUCUAAGUUUUGAGGGAUUUGUAAGUAAUCUUUGAGGGAACUGGCUCAGUGUUACAUUUCAGCACAUAGCAUGCAAUUCUGACAAAUGUAAUUAAACUCUGUUACUAUAUAAAUGUGAAGUUUUUUUAACUUUGAAGUUAGAAAUAUCUUUUGAAUAUUGAAACAAACCUAUAAUUGCUUGCAAUGGCAGCAUGGUCUAGGUGUUGCAUUUGUACACAGACUUGAUUUAUAGUUUCAGCAAUCUAUGAACUCAUUGAGUCGCAUUGCGCCCUCGCCGCCCUGAUGGGCCCUACUUUAUUAUUUUACUUUGUCUAACGCCAGACGAUUUUACUUGUCAAGGGGAGAGUGCUGGCGCAGCUUAAUUGGUUAACUAGCCUAUAUGUCUAUGUGUCUAGUUAGUGCAUUGAGUUACAUUACACCCUAUGUUAUUAUUUUACUCUGUCAGUCUCUAUCUACCAGCAGACAAGUUAACUUGUCAACGGAGAAUGCUGGCGCUUAAUAGUUAACUAGCUUAUAUGUUUAUGUGUCUAGUUAACCUAUUGAGUCGCAUUGCGCCCCGAUGCGCCCUACUUUAUUAUUUACUCUGUCUACCUGCAGACGAUUUUACUUGUCAAGAGGAGAGCACUGGUGCUUAAACGGCUUAAUGAUUAACUACCCUAUAUGUCUUUAUGUCUAGUUAGUGCAUUGAGUCACAUUGCACCCUGAUGCACCCUAUGUUAUUAUUUUACUCUGUCAGUCUCUAUCUAACGGCAGACAAGUUAACUUGUCAACAGAGAGGGCUGGCGCUUAAUGGUUGACAAGCUUAUAUGUCUAUGUGUCUAGUUAGCCCAUUGAGUCGCACUGCGCCCUGAUGCGCCCUACUUUAUUAUUUUACUCUGUCUAACGGCAGACGAUUUUACUUGUCAAGGGGAGAGGGCUGGCGCUUAAUGAUUUAAGUUCUGAAAGUAGCAAGAACCACCCAUGUGAGGCUUAUGUUUUUAUAUACCAAGGAUACAGCCACAAUACAUCCAUGGAUUGUCGGUCCACCUUUUGUGUUAACUCAGUAAGCCGCAGUGUUUCGCAGUGUCACCAUCAGUCAUUUGCUUGUUUUGUAUAUGCGAUACUGAGUAGAUAUGUUAUGUGCCCCAAAGACAGUCGUGUUUACAGGCUAUACCUGUAGUAAUUGGGCUACUUUGUUAUUUCGGUCUUAUAUCAGUCAGAUAUUUAAAUUUACCCUUAAACAGAGUUACCGUACUGUAAGAGUAUUGGGUUUAUCAGUUACAGUGAUGCAAGAUUUUUAAUCUCUAAACCUUUACCAUUUUCUUCUAGGUCUUGCAAGGCAAAGUUUAUUUACUAAUGGCAGAAUAUUGUGAAAUAAUGUGUCACUGAGUUUGGAUUAUUCCUGCCUACUAUACUGAACUAUAUGUGUA